UUAAGUUAAUAAGGGCGCACGGUGGAUGCCUUGGCACUAGGAGCCGACGAAGGACGUGACAAACGACGAUAUGCCUUGGGUAGCUGUAAGUAAGCGAUGAUCCAGGGAUUUCCGAAUGGGGGAACCCAACAGGUAAUACCUGUUACCUACAUCUGUUAAGGAUGUGAGGAGGAAGACGCAGUGAACUGAAACAUCUAAGUAGCUGCAGGAAGAGAAAGCAAAAGCGAUUGCCUUAGUAGCGGCGAGCGAAACGGCAGAAGGGCAAACCGAAGAGUUUACUCUUCGGGGUUGUAGGACUGCAAUGUGGACUCAAAGAUUAUAGAAGAAUGAUUUGGGAAGAUCAGCCAAAGAGAGUAAUAGCCUCGUAUUUAAAAUAGUCUUUGUACUUAGCAGUAUCCUGAGUACGGCGGGACACGUGAAAUCCCGUCGGAAUCUGGGAGGACCAUCUCCCAACCCUAAAUACUCCCUAGUGACCGAUAGUGAACCAGUACCGUGAGGGAAAGGUGAAAAGCACCCCGGGAGGGGAGUGAAAUAGAACCUGAAACCGUGUGCCUACAACAAGUUCGAGCCCGUUAAUGGGUGAGAGCGUGCCUUUUGUAGAAUGAACCGGCGAGUUACGUUAUGAUGCGAGGUUAAGUUGAAGAGACGGAGCCGUAGGGAAACCGAGUCUGAAUAGGGCGCCUUAGUAUCAUGACGUAGACCCGAAACCAUGUGACCUACCCAUGAGCAGGUUGAAGGUGCGGUAAGACGCACUGGAGGACCGAACCAGGGCACGUUGAAAAGUGCUUGGAUGACUUGUGGGUAGCGGAGAAAUUCCAAACGAACUUGGAGAUAGCUGGUUCUCUCCGAAAUAGCUUUAGGGCUAGCGUCGACAUUAGAGAUUCUUGGAGGUAGAGCACUGUUUGGGUGAGGGGUCCAUCCCGGAUUACCAAUACUCAGAUAAACUCCGAAUGCCAAUGAAUUAUGGUCGGCAGUCAGACUGCGAGUGCUAAGAUCCGUAGUCGAAGGGAAACAGCCCAGACCACCAGCUAAGGUCCCAAAAUAAUUGUUAAGUGGAAAAGGAUGUGGGGUUGCACAGACAACUAGGAUGUUAGCUUAGAAGCAGCUAUUCAUUCAAAGAGUGCGUAAUAGCUCACUAGUCGAGUGACCCUGCGCCGAAAAUGUACCGGGGCUAAAACAAUUUACCGAAGCUGUGGAUACCUUUAUAGGUAUGGUAGGAGAGCGUUCUAUGUGUGAUGAAGGUAUACCGUGAGGAGUGCUGGAACGCAUAGAAGUGAGAAUGCCGGUAUGAGUAGCGAAAGACAGGUGAGAAUCCUGUCCACCGUAAGACUAAGGUUUCCAGGGGAAGGCUCGUCCGCCCUGGGUUAGUCGGGACCUAAGGAGAGACCGAAAGGUGUAUCCGAUGGACAACAGGUUGAUAUUCCUGUACUAGAGUAUGUAGUGAUGGAGGGACGCAGUAGGCUAACUAAAGCAGACGAUUGGAAGAGUCUGUCUAAGCAGUGAGGUGUGAAUUGAGUCAAAUGCUUAAUUCUAUAACAUUGAGCUGUGAUGGGGAGCGAAGUUUAGUAGCGAAGUUAGUGACGUCACACUGCCAAGAAAAGCUUCUAGCGUUUAAACAUACUCUACCCGUACCGCAAACCGACACAGGUAGUCGAGGCGAGUAGCCUCAGGUGAGCGAGAGAACUCUCGUUAAGGAACUCGGCAAAAUGACCCCGUAACUUCGGGAGAAGGGGUGCUGACUUAAAGUCAGCCGCAGUGAAUAGGCCCAAGCAACUGUUUAUCAAAAACACAGCUCUCUGCUAAAUCGUAAGAUGAUGUAUAGGGGGUGACGCCUGCCCGGUGCUGGAAGGUUAAGAGGAGUGCUUAGCGUAAGCGAAGGUAUGAAUUGAAGCCCCAGUAAACGGCGGCCGUAACUAUAACGGUCCUAAGGUAGCGAAAUUCCUUGUCGGGUAAGUUCCGACCCGCACGAAAGGCGUAAUGAUUUGGGCACUGUCUCAACGAGAGACUCGGUGAAAUUUUAGUACCUGUGAAGAUGCAGGUUACCCGCGACAGGACGGAAAGACCCCAUGGAGCUUUACUGCAGUUUGAUAUUGAGUGUCUGUACCACAUGUACAGGAUAGGUAGGAGUCUAAGAGAUCGGGACGCCAGUUUCGAAGGAGACGCUGUUGGGAUACUACCCUUGUGUUAUGGCCACUCUAACCCAGAUAGGUGAUCCCUAUCGGAGACAGUGUCUGACGGGCAGUUUGACUGGGGCGGUCGCCUCCUAAAAGGUAACGGAGGCGCCCAAAGGUUCCCUCAGAAUGGUUGGAAAUCAUUCGCAGAGUGUAAAGGUAUAAGGGAGCUUGACUGCGAGAGCUACAACUCGAGCAGGGACGAAAGUCGGGCUUAGUGAUCCGGUGGUUCCGUAUGGAAGGGCCAUCGCUCAACGGAUAAAAGCUACCCUGGGGAUAACAGGCUUAUCUCCCCCAAGAGUUCACAUCGACGGGGAGGUUUGGCACCUCGAUGUCGGCUCGUCGCAUCCUGGGGCUGUAGUCGGUCCCAAGGGUUGGGCUGUUCGCCCAUUAAAGCGGCACGCGAGCUGGGUUCAGAACGUCGUGAGACAGUUCGGUCCCUAUCCGUCGCGGGCGUAGGAAAUUUGAGAGGAUCUGCUCCUAGUACGAGAGGACCAGAGUGGACUUACCGCUGGUGUACCAGUUGUCUUGCCAAAGGCAUCGCUGGGUAGCUAUGUAGGGAAGGGAUAAACGCUGAAAGCAUCUAAGUGUGAAACCCACCUCAAGAUGAGAUUUCCCAUGAUUAUAUAUCAGUAAGAGCCCUGAGAGAUGAUCAGGUAGAUAGGUUAGAAGUGGAAGUGUGGCGACACAUGUAGCGGACUAAUACUAAUAGCUCGAGGACUUAUCCAA
Molecule: ribosomal RNA, 2900 nt
Filed under: Streptococcus pneumoniae GA13494
Lineage: Bacteria; Bacillati; Bacillota; Bacilli; Lactobacillales; Streptococcaceae
Description: bacterial LSU rRNA
Rfam family: Bacterial large subunit ribosomal RNA
Source: RNAcentral